RNAcentral lists this ribosomal RNA (253 nucleotides) under uncultured bacterium. RNAcentral describes it as "partial 16S ribosomal RNA". It matches the Rfam family "Bacterial small subunit ribosomal RNA", at positions 524 to 776 of the family's 1533-position model. The record is from RNAcentral.
UACGUAGGGGGCAAGCGUUGUCCGGAUUUAUUGGGCGUAAAGAGCGUGUAGGCGGCCAUACAGGUCCGUUGUGAAAACUGGAGGCUUAACCUCCAGACGUCGAUGGAAACCGUUUGGCUAGAGUCCGGAAGAGGAGAGUGGAAUUCCUGGUGUAGCGGUGAAAUGCGCAGAUAUCAGGAAGAACACCCGUGGCGAAGGCGGCUCUCUGGGACGGUACUGACGCUGAGACGCGAAAGCGUGGGGAGCGAACAGG